This 496-nucleotide ribosomal RNA is filed under the name uncultured bacterium. Its description in RNAcentral is "bacterial SSU rRNA". It matches the Rfam family "Bacterial small subunit ribosomal RNA", at positions 28 to 520 of the family's 1533-position model. The record is from RNAcentral.
GAUGAACGCUGGCGGCGUGCCUAACACAUGCAAGUCGAGCGCGAUUAAGUGGAGUGAGAACUUCGGUUCAAGUGAAGCUUGUGAAAGCGGCGGACGGGUGAGUAACGCGUGGGUAACCUGCCCCAUACAAAGGGAUAGCCACUGGAAACGGUGAUUAAUACCUUAUAAGUCGGUAGUCUCGCAUGAGACAGCCGACAAAGAUUUAUCGGUAUGGGAUGGACCCGCGUCUGAUUAGCUAGUUGGUGAGGUAACGGCUCACCAAGGCGACGAUCAGUAGCCGACCUGAGAGGGUGAUCGGCCACACUGGAACUGAGACACGGUCCAGACUCCUACGGGAGGCAGCAGUGGGGAAUAUUGCACAAUGGGCGCAAGCCUGAUGCAGCAACGCCGCGUGAGUGAUGAAGGCUUUCGGGUCGUAAAACUCUGUCCUAUGGGAAGAAAAAAAUAGACGGUACCAUAGGAGGAAGCCCGGCUAACUACGUGCCAGCAGCCGCGG